Molecule: long non-coding RNA, 450 nt
Organism: Poecile atricapillus (Black-capped chickadee)
Lineage: Eukaryota; Metazoa; Chordata; Aves; Passeriformes; Paridae
Exons: 3
Source: RefSeq, a predicted model, not a curated record
UCCAUCCAGGGUGUCCCAACAUCCAUCCAGGGUGUCCCAAAAUCCAUCCAGGGUGUCCCAAAUCCAUCCAGGGUGUCCCAAAUCCAACCAGGAUGUCCCCAAGUCCAACCAGGACAUCACCAAAUCCAUCCAGGGUGUCCCAAAUCCAUCCAGGGUGUCCCAAAAUCCAUCCAGGGUGUCCCAAAAUCCAUCCAGGGUGUCCCCAAGUCCAACCAGGGUGUCCCAAAGUCACCAAAUGCUACCAGGAUGUCCCCAAGUCCCCAAGUGUCCCCAGGUGUCCCUAAGAUAUUCCCAGGUGUCCCUGAGGUGUCCCCACAUCUCCCCAGGUACCCCAGGUGUCCCCCAGCUGUCCCCAAGGUAUCCCCAGCUGUCCCCAAGGUAUCCCCAAGGUGUCCCCAGCUGUCCCCAGGGUGUCCCCAGGUGUCCCUGAGGUAUCUCCACAUCUCCCCA